Molecule: unclassified non-coding RNA, 343 nt
Filed under: soil metagenome
Description: partial contains 5.8S ribosomal RNA, internal transcribed spacer 2, and large subunit ribosomal RNA
Rfam family: 5.8S ribosomal RNA (bases 1-120)
Source: RNAcentral
GAUGAAGAACGUAGCGAAACGCGAUAAGUAAUGUGAAUUGCAGAAUCCAGUGAAUCAUCGAAUCUUUGAACGCACAUUGCGCCCGCCAGCAUUCUGGCGGGCAUGCCUGUUCGAGCGUCAUUUCAACCCUCGACCUCCCCUUGGGGAGGUCGGCGUUGGGGACCGGCAGCACACCGCCGGCCCUGAAAUGGAGUGGCGGCCCGUCCGCGGCGACCUCUGCGCAGUAAUACAGCUCGCACCGGGACCCCGACGCGGCCACGCCGUAAAACACCCAACUUCUGAACGUUGACCUCGAAUCAGGUAGGAAUACCCGCUGAACUUAAGCAUAUCAAUAAGCGGAGGA